AGUGAACGCUGGCGGUAGGCCUAACACAUGCAAGUCGAACGGCAGCACAGGAGAGCUUGCUCUCUGGGUGGCGAGUGGCGGACGGGUGAGGAAUACAUCGGAAUCUACUCUGUCGUGGGGGAUAACGUAGGGAAACUUACGCUAAUACCGCAUACGACCUACGGGUGAAAGCAGGGGAUCUUCGGACCUUGCGCGAUUGAAUGAGCCGAUGUCGGAUUAGCUAGUUGGCGGGGUAAAGACCCACCAAGGCGACGAUCCGUAGCUGGUCUGAGAGGAUGAUCAGCCACACUGGAACUGAGACACGGUCCAGACUCCUACGGGAGGCAGCAGUGGGGAAUAUUGGACAAUGGGCGCAAGCCUGAUCCAGCCAUACCGCGUGGGUGAAGAAGGCCUUCGGGUUGUAAAGCCCUUUUGUUGGGAAAGAAGUCCAGCUGGCUAAUACCCGGUUGGGAUGACGGUACCCAAAGAAUAAGCACCGGCUAACUUCGUGCCAGCCGCCGCGGUAA
RNAcentral lists this ribosomal RNA (506 nucleotides) under uncultured bacterium. Its description in RNAcentral is "partial 16S ribosomal RNA". It matches the Rfam family "Bacterial small subunit ribosomal RNA", at positions 29 to 523 of the family's 1533-position model. The record is from RNAcentral.